This is a long non-coding RNA of Oncorhynchus tshawytscha (Chinook salmon), 5703 nucleotides long. Lineage: Eukaryota; Metazoa; Chordata; Actinopteri; Salmoniformes; Salmonidae. The record is from Ensembl.
CACUCAGAAGUCUGAGCAUGGUGAGUAGCACAUUUUGGUUUACGUGUUUUAGUUUCAGGCCAACCUACUGUAGUACAUGUCAAACAUGAGUAUUUGAGUACUUGUUGUCUAGUGCAGCAGCGUGUGUGUGUGUGUGUAUGUAUGUAUGUAUAUGUGUUUUAUUUCCACUCUAAAAUUGAGUUAUAACCAUACGCACGUGGUUCCAUACUACUGUACAGACCGUUUCUGAUACGGUUGGCAACGAUGUUUCGGGAACGUCCUGAGAAAUAUUCGAAGUAACAUGUUGCUGAUUCAAUUAACGCAUGUAACUUACGUCCUAUACGUUUAAUUUCUAGCGGGAUAUGCAUGCUUUUUAUGCCUUUUUUUUCUUUAAAAUGGCCUCUUAUUAAUUAAGAGGCGUUGCACGCUCGGUUUGUGGCGUUUCCGUUUUUGCGAUGGCCACGUGGGCGCGAACAUAUUUUGUGGCUCUACAUUUUAUGUAGGUGUACAUGUAAACUACUAAAGGGCAACUCCUCCACAUUUCAACCUCAUUCAUUAUCUCCAGCCCCAAACCAGUGUCUACAUAUGCGAAAUCGUUACGUUUCUGUGGUUAAAAGAUAAAGGUCCCAAAUGCUUCUAACAUCACGGUAGGCUUAGUUGUAAGAAACUGUUUAUUAUAUAUGUGAGUAGCUUUUAACCAGAGGGAGUUUAUUUUCUUCCUCCCCAUGAUGACCUGCGAAGAUCAGUGUUUGAAAAUCAGUCUUCAGACUUUUUACUUUUGUCAUCUGCUAAAACCUAACUGCCGUUUUCACAUAUGUCGACUGUUUUAGUGCUGGAGAUCGUGAAUAUAUUUGUGGCGGAGAUGCUCUUUUUAAGUGUUAAGAAUCAUUAAUGUCCUGUUUUCUCUUUUAUAGUCUCCAAGGUGAAGAGUACAAUGAGGAAGAUUAGAUGCCACCAUGACCUAUUGGUGUCACUGUCCAAGCAAAUGGCACAUGAACGUAGCAGUAAGGCCUGCCUUUUCUCCGUGAAAGAAUAUAGUGGUAAGCUACACCAGGUGGCAUUUGGAACUCUGUCCAGUCUUAAAAAAGUAAUGUGUAAUUGGUCUGUGAUGAGAAAUCAUGCACCACGCUGAACUUGUGAUGGAUAACCUCUACCACAUUAUCUGAGACCUGCACAGACAUGGUUACAAAUAAAUGCUGGUUCAUAAGGCUGGGUUGUGAAUGCUUGGUUCUGGUUUCCCCGACAUGGAUUAAGCCUACUUCUGGGCUAAAGCUAUUUCUAUGGCGAAUCCAUAUAGGCCCCUACUAACAGUUUAAUGGGCUUGUUUCUCAGAAGACCUGUUUUACCAAUGAUACUUCUUGGUGGUUCUUGCCCUUUGUGAUGUAACGGUCUACAAUGCCACUGUUACAAUGAGCGGGCAGACAAACUAACCAAUGAUGGCACGGCUGCCCUGUUCAGUGGGCAUAGAACCGGCCUGAUAUGCCAAGGUAUCAUAUCCUGUCCUCUCGGUGACAUGACCUAUUAAUCGAGCACAUUUGAUCUUGGUGUGACUGAUGCUUUAGAACAGGGUUAUUGAACACUUUCUAUAGGGCAGGGUUUCCCAAAAUGUCCGGUUGAACCCAAGGGGUGCGCAAUUUGGGUUUUGUCUAAGCACUACACAGCUGAUUUAAAUAAUCAACUAAUCAUCAAGCUUUGAUCAUUUCAAUCAGUUGUUGGUGCAAAAACCAAAACGAUACCCUUCAAGGUCUGGAGCCUGCUGGUGUUCUGCUCUACCUGAUAAUUGUACCCUCCUGGGGUCCCAGUGAUUUAGAAGAAACCAACUCAGUGGAACUGGCUUUGAGGUCUAGACUUAGGGCUGUUGCACUAGCAGCUACCUACUUGGACUAACUACUUAUUAUAUCUACACUUUGACUAUUUGUUGGCAUUUUUUUUUUUUUUUCCUUGCUCGGUUUCCUUAACUGUUACCAUCCUGUUGUUUUCAGAUAAAGGGUGGUGCAGCACUGCUUGCUGACUUACUGGUUAGUGGGUCAUGAUGUGACUCCACAAUGGUAAGUCCUUGCCUCAAUUGGUUAUGCACUGGCUAAAUGUCUUGUUCUCCUAGCAAUCUGCCCCUUGAGGUGUUGCAGUCCGACUGUACGUGUUGAGCCUGUGUCAUGAGGGGCGGAGAGUGACAGGGCUAUGUCUACGCCAAGGACCCAGAACAGUGGGUACUUGGAGUGAUCAUAGCGGCAACAGUGUAUGCAAUGUAAUGCUGGUAAAUGACGUGUUCAUAUCAUACAUUUAGCGUUCUGUUUUCUCUGGUUGUCCUUAGGAUGUGAAGUUGCCAAUGCGAAAUUGGUAUACCGCUGGUUGGUGUCCUAGCGGCUGUGACCUGGAAGUAGCAGAAUGAUUGCCGCCUUUCCUCCCUGAAAGAAUGCUGUGCAGUGUGCACAUAACAGCGAUAAAGGAUGGUCUGGAGGUGCAGCAGUGCUGACCUACUGGUUAUAGUGGGUCAUGAUGAGGCGCCACAAGCCACGGUAAGUCCUUGCUGAGUUUGGUUAUGCACUGGCUAAAUGUCUUGUUCUCCUAGCAAUCUGCCCCUUGAGGUGUUGCAGUCCGACUGUACGUGUUGAGCCUGUGUCAUGAGGGGCGGAGAGUGACAGGGCUAUGUCUACGCCAAGGACCCAGAACAGUGGGUACUUGGAGUGAUCAUAGCGCCAACAUUGGCAGCAGUAUAUGAAAUGUAAUGCAGGUAAAUGACCGGGGUUUAUAUCAUACAUGUAACGUUCAGUUUUCUCUGGUUGUCCUUCGGCUGUGAAGCUGCCAAUGAGAAGUUGGUAUUUUGGUGUCCUAGCAGAUGUAACCUGGAAGUAGCAGAAUAAUUGCCGCCUUUCCUCCCUGAAAGAAUGCUGUGCACAGAACGGUAAGCAACAUCCAUGGCAUUUUAACUUUAAGUCUUAAAAGAAAAUGUUUAAUGAGAAAUCAUUCACCACGCUGAACUUGUGAUGGAUAACCUCUAUACCACAUUAUCUGAGACCUGCAGAGACAUAGUUACAAAUUCACACAAGGCUUGUUAAUGUUACACUGAGCAAAUGAACGGGUUGGUUUCAUGAGCUGAAAUAAAAGUUCGCAGAAAUCUUCCAUGCGCACAAGAACCUUAUUUCUCAAAUGUUUUGCACAAACUUGUUUAUACCUGUUAGUGAGCAUUUUCCUUUGCCAAGAUGAUCCAUCCACCUGAUAUGUGACAUAAGCUUCUUUAUUAAACAGCAUGAUCAUUACACAGGUACACCUUGUGCUGUGAAAAAAAUAUGCCGUUUUGUCAACACAAUGCCACAGAUCUCUCAUGUUGAGGGAGCGCAAUUAGCAUGCCGACUGCAGGAAUGUCAACCAGAGCUGUUGCCAGAUUUGGAUUUUAAUUUCUCUACCAUAAGCAGCAUCCCAACAUUUUAGAAUUUGUCAGGACUUCCAUAUUUUCACCUAUACGAUCUGAGACCGCUACCCGGACAGCUGAAACUGGGUUUGCUCAACAUUCAGUUCUGCAUGGACUGUCAUACAGUCUCAGGACACUUGGGUGUCUUGACCUGACUAUGCUCACCUUUGUUGGAGUGUGCCCUUCACAGGUGUAUCCCAGUUUCAACUGUACCGGGUAGAUGGCAGGCAGCGUCCAGUGUUGUGGGUGCGCAGUUUGCUGAUGUCAAAGUUGCGAAGAGUGCCCUAUGGUGGCAGUGGUGUUACGAUAUGGGCAGGCAUAAGCAAUGGCCAACUACAUACAAAUUGCCGUCGAUAAUAUGUAAUUGUGUUUUGAGGUUCCGUGAUGAGAUCCUGAGGCCUGUUGUGCCGCCAUCUGUCUCACCUCGUGUUUCAGCGCUAAUCCAUGGCCCUAUGUUGUAAUGAUCUGUACAAAAUUCCUGUGAGCUGAAAUGUCCUGUUUCUUCCAUGGCUUACAUACAGAGCAUGUUUAUGAUGCUUUGUAUGAUUGUGUGUUCCUGCAAUAUCCAUCCACUUCGAACAGGCCACACUCACCUCAUCUGCUCAACUCUAUGCGAAGGAGAUGUUGUGAUGCCUGAGGUAAAUGGUUGUUGCACGAGCCUUUAUCUGUGACAAAUCUAUUCCCUGUCAUGUGAAAUCUAUAGAUUAGGGCCUACUGGAUUUAGUACCAUAGCCUGAUUUUCCUUGACUUAACUUUGAAAAUUUGAAAUUAGUUCGGUAUAGAUUAAACCUACUAAUGGACUAAAGCUCUUUCAAUGGAGAAUCCAUGUAGGCACCAAUAGGUUUGUUUUUCAGCACAUGUAUUAAUGGUGUUUCCUACCUCUUGAUGUACUUGUGGCUCCAAUUGCAUGAUAAACUGACCCACAAUGACUUAACUGCCCGCUUUAGUGGGAAGCAGGUAUGGCACAGUCUCAGGUACCCAGACCCUCGCCAGGAGGGCAAAGUGUCCUAACCUAUUAAUCACGCACGUUUGGUGCAAUACUCAAGAACUAGCAUCAAUGUAUUUGGACCCACUACUUAAUGUGUAUGCUGUUGCCUUGAUAUGUUGCUCUUCAAACUUACCUGUUACAUCUUUAUUUUCAGAGUCUGACAGUGUGGGGUUGACAUGGCGCCACAGGUCAUUGUAAGUCUGCCUCAUUUGGUUACACACUGGCUAAAUGUAUAUUGGUCUCAUCGAAAUCUGCCCCUUGAGGUGUUGCAGUCCGACUAUGUGUUGAGCCUGUGUCAUGAGGGGCGGAGAGUAACCGGGCUACGUCUACGCCAAGGACCCAGGACAGUGGGUACUUUGCAUGACUAUGGCGCCGAUAUUGGGACCCAUUUUAGACCAGCAGACAAAUGUCAACUUCUAGUGCUUGAACAGGUGGCCGAGUGCUUGAUUUAAGCUCCCUCGGUAGUUUAGCUUGUUUUGCCAAAACCACUUAUUACUGACUGGUAAUUGCCAUUGGGCCAAUACUUAGUUGAUUCAACUAACCUGAGGUUUUAUGACUUGGUCACUUUUUUUAAAGGGUUGCCAGGUUUUUUAUAUUAUUCUCACCAAUUUCCUGAUUUGAUCGAUGGGACAGGUGCUGAAGAACGACUGAAGAUUGGCCUGUUGAAGAUGAAAGGUGGCAGUACCUUAGAAGAAAGCAGAUUGUUCAGUUGCCAGUCCUAGACUAGGGUGCCAUCUGAUUGUGUAUGCAGCUGCCACUAUUAUAGCCGUUAGAUGCCGUUAAUCACAGCAAGCUCAGUUUUAGUUUCUGGUUAUCACGUGAAAACCCUUUACUCUGGGUGACCUAGGUGAAAUUGGCUCAACAAAUAUUAAUUAAACAUACCUGCCCUGUUCGAUUUGAAUAAAUGUAUUGCUUUCAAGAUAAUUAAAAUAAACUCAAGCUGAUCUCAGUGGCUGUUUGAUUUUUUUUUUUUUAAGCAUUUCUUCAGAUGCCCUUCACUGACAACUACAGAGAACUGAAUGUUGAGUGAAGUCACAGGUCUGCUGGAAUGGAUGGACAAACUACACAAUGGUAACCGGAUUAAUCGGCAUUUUUGGACACCGAUCAUGGCCGAUGCGAUUGCAGCAAGGAGCUAGCAUUAAACGCGUCCGUUUUAUAAAUCUUAACAUUGUCACUAGUUAACUACACAUGGUUAUUUCCAGCUUGUCCUGCGUUGCCUGUUAAAUCAUUGAAAUUUAGCCUACUUUUGAUUUUAUAAGCGUAUUUGUGAAAAGCACUUGUGUACCUAACCAUAAACACCUUUAAAUCAAUACAAGUAUGUAUUUGA